This 485-nucleotide ribosomal RNA is filed under the name uncultured bacterium. RNAcentral describes it as "partial 16S ribosomal RNA". It matches the Rfam family "Bacterial small subunit ribosomal RNA", at positions 30 to 507 of the family's 1533-position model. The record is from RNAcentral.
UUGCACGCUGGCGGCAUGCCUUACACAUGCACGUCGAACGGCAGCACGGGUGCUUGCACCUGGUGGCGAGUGGCGAACGGGUGAGUAAUACAUCGGAACAUGUCCUGUAGUGGGGGAUAGCCCGGCGAAAGCCGGAUUAAUACCGCAUACGAUCUACGGAUGAAAGCGGGGGACCUUCGGGCCUCGCGCUAUAGGGUUGGCCGAUGGCUGAUUAGCUAGUUGGUGGGGUAAAGGCCUACCAAGGCGACGAUCAGUAGCUGGUCUGAGAGGACGACCAGCCACACUGGGACUGAGACACGGCCCAGACUCCUACGGGAGGCAGCAGUGGGGAAUUUUGGACAAUGGGCGAAAGCCUGAUCCAGCAAUGCCGCGUGUGUGAAGAAGGCCUUCGGGUUGUAAAGCACUUUUGUCCGGAAAGAAAUCCUUGGCCCUAAUACGGUCGGGGGAUGACGGUACCGGAAGAAUAAGCACCGGCUAACUACGUG